This is a small nuclear RNA of Mesocricetus auratus (golden hamster), 102 nucleotides long. Lineage: Eukaryota; Metazoa; Chordata; Mammalia; Rodentia; Cricetidae. The record is from Ensembl.
GCUUGCUUCUCCAGCAUAUAUACUAAAUAGAAUGAUGCAGAAAAGCUUACCACGGCCACCGUGCAAGGAUGGCAUGCAACUAGUGAAGAAUUCCACUUUAAU